ACUAGCGAGAUGAGUCUGCACCAUUGCCUCCAAGCUACGAGCACCUCUUAUGUCGAACGAGUCAUAUGUCACCGGGUCAACAGAAGAGCAAAAUCGAUACGUAAUAGACAGAACUUUCAUUGGCGUCAUUCCGAAUAUUUUACGCCUAAUUCUUUUACGAAGUUCCGUCAAAUCUAUGUUCUAGUUAAAAACCAGUCGCACUGUAUUAUCCGAUAAAAAAAUAACACCAUUCUCGGUGUGGCAAACCUCACCAUCAUAGUAAUAACAGCACUAAUACGUUCACUCAUCUUCAAUUUCUAUCCUUUUUAGC
This 310-nucleotide long non-coding RNA is filed under the name Gossypium raimondii (Peruvian cotton). RNAcentral describes it as "long non-coding RNA (GRAI_LNC000280)". Lineage: Eukaryota; Viridiplantae; Streptophyta; Magnoliopsida; Malvales; Malvaceae. The record is from RNAcentral.